CCUACGGGGGGCAGCAGUGGGGAAUUGUUCGCAAUGGGCGCAAGCCUGACGACGCAACGCCGCGUGGAGGAUGAAGAUCUUCGGGUCGUAAACUCCUGUCGAGUGGGAAGAAACGUCACGGGGCCAACACCCUCGUGAUUUGACGGUACCACUAAAGGAAGCCCCGGCUAACUCCGUGCCAGCAGCCGCGGUAAUACGGGGGGGGCAAGCGUUGUUCGGAAUUACUGGGCGUAAAGGGCUCGUAGGCGGCCAACUAAGUCGGAUGUGAAAUCCCCAGGCUCAACCUGGGAACUGCAUCCGAUACUGGAUGGCUUGAAUUCGGGAGAGGGAUGCAGAAUUCCAGGUGUAGCGGUGAAAUGCGUAGAUAUCUGGAGGAAUACCGGUGGCGAAGGCGGCAUCCUGGACCGACAUUGACGCUGAGGAGCGAAAGCUAGGGGAG
RNAcentral lists this ribosomal RNA (439 nucleotides) under uncultured Luteitalea sp. Its description in RNAcentral is "bacterial SSU rRNA". It matches the Rfam family "Bacterial small subunit ribosomal RNA", at positions 338 to 768 of the family's 1533-position model. The record is from RNAcentral. Lineage: Bacteria; Pseudomonadati; Acidobacteriota; Vicinamibacteria; Vicinamibacterales; Vicinamibacteraceae.